RNAcentral lists this ribosomal RNA (497 nucleotides) under uncultured bacterium. Its description in RNAcentral is "partial 16S ribosomal RNA". It matches the Rfam family "Bacterial small subunit ribosomal RNA", at positions 28 to 507 of the family's 1533-position model. The record is from RNAcentral.
GGUGAACGCUGGCGGCGUGCCUAAUACAUGCAAGUCGAGCGAACAGACGAGGAGCUUGCUCCUCUGACGUUAGCGGCGGACGGGUGAGUAACACGUGGAUAACCUACUUAUAAGACUGGGAUAACUUCGGGAAACCGGAGCUAAUACCGGAUAAUAUAUUGAACCGCAUGGUUCAAUAGUGAAAGACGGUUUUGCUGUCACUUAUAGAUGGAUCCGCGCCGCAUUAGCUAGUUGGUAAGGUAACGGCUUACCAAGGCAACGAUGCGUAGCCGACCUGAGAGGGUGAUCGGCCACACUGGAACUGAGACACGGUCCAGACUCCUACGGGAGGCAGCAGUAGGGAAUCUUCCGCAAUGGGCGAAAGCCUGACGGAGCAACGCCGCGUGAGUGAUGAAGGUCUUCGGAUCGUAAAACUCUGUUAUUAGGGAAGAACAAAUGUGUAAGUAACUAUGCACGUCUUGACGGUACCUAAUCAGAAAGCCACGGCUAACUACGUG